CAGUUCCUAACCAUCGCGCCACUUGGCCGGCCCUUGUGUGUCUUUCUUGAACCAACUUAUUUGAAAUCACUACUCAGCCAUAGCUGUACUUGCUACAACCCUCUGAGGUAGUCCUGCUCUUGUUCUAGUUUUAUGGAGGAAUAAGCCCCUUGCCUGUGGCCACAAGGGCUGUCAUCGGCAGAGGCAGGAUAUGAGCCCUGGCAGCCUGGCUCUGGAACUUGGGUACCCAGCCACUAUGCGCCACCACUCUUGCCAAGCUUGACAAGCUGUACUAGCCUCCCUUAUAACUGUCUCCACAGUAUGGCAGCAUCUAGUGUCACCAGAAGCCAACUUAGAAAUAUCAUUUGUGAUGCCUUUGCAUUUUAUAGGCCAUUCUGGAAUAGAUUGUUGUCCCUCAUAAGGCCCUCAUGGUGCAUUCCUCCUAGACCCAGCAGUAAUGCAUUGGGGAGGCAGGGAUGUAAAGGGCACUGACCAGAGUCAGACUACCUGGCUCCCUUCUGAGCCUCACCAUGUAUUGCCAGUAUGGCCUUGGUAGUCACUUAGCCUUCCCAAGCCUCAGUUUCCUCAUCUGUAAAAUGCGGGUAAUAAUAGUACCUUCCUCCUAAGGUUUUUAUGAGAUUCAAAUAGGAAUGAUAAUUGUGAAGACUACAGAAUGGAACUUAACAUAGUUUUGGUACAUAGGAAGCACUCAAUCCAUGCUAAAUUUCAUUAAUAAUAUAGUGUUUUCUCCAACUCUUGAGAGUUGUGAUUUCUUCCCUGCACUGAUUGUCAAGCAUCUCAGAGAGCAUUUUUUCCUGUAACAUUCUUUGGCUUGGUUGUACUUGCCCUUUUUAUUUUGAUCAAUGAUGAGAAUUUUGGCCUUAUUGUAUGCUAUGCUUUUAUGGUAAGCAGCCUCUUUCUUUCUGGAGGUAGGUGGCCAAAUAAAUAAAGGCAUGCAUAUGUUUGUAUAUUCACAUAGACACACACACAGAACACAAAACAUCCCCAAGAGGACCUCACUGAAAUGCCAUUUCACUUCUCAGUCUGGCUUCUAAACCUCCUGUUUUAGUGAGGUUUCAGUGCUACUACUAGCCAAGUGAAAUGCCGUUGAGAAAUCUUUUAGAAUGGUUUUUCCCAAAAUAGUGCCCUUCACUCAAAUCUAUGGCAUUGGUUUCAGGAACUUUGCUGCUACAAUCCAGCGGCCCUUCUCAGUUCAUUAUGACCCAUACACCCAAAGGAUUGAGGUCUUGGACAACACCCAGCAACUUAAGAUUUUGGCUGACUCCAUCAACAGUGAAGUUGGAAUUCUUUGCAGUGCCCUCCAGAAAAUAAAGUGAAGCCAUGGACAGAACCAGCCUGUCAACUGAGAAUCUGUUGAUGGAAAUCCAACAACUUUUAUUUUAUCUGAAAAAGCCUGACAAUCAAAACUUCAUUUAAAAUGACAGCCUUAAAUCAUGUUUUGAACAAGAUGGAGGAUCAACAAAUAAAUUUAAAUAAUC
Long non-coding RNA from Hipposideros armiger (great roundleaf bat), 1478 nucleotides. RefSeq lists it as uncharacterized. The transcript is spliced from 2 exons. The record is from RefSeq and is a predicted model, not a curated record. Lineage: Eukaryota; Metazoa; Chordata; Mammalia; Chiroptera; Hipposideridae.